RNAcentral lists this ribosomal RNA (727 nucleotides) under uncultured Bacteroidota bacterium. RNAcentral's name for it is "bacterial SSU rRNA". It matches the Rfam family "Bacterial small subunit ribosomal RNA", at positions 69 to 795 of the family's 1533-position model. Lineage: Bacteria; Pseudomonadati; Bacteroidota. The record is from RNAcentral.
AAAGCUUGCUUUUGAUGGGCGUCGACCGGCGCACGGGUGAGUAACGCGUAUCCAACCUGCCCACCACUUGGGGAUAACCUUGCGAAAGUAAGACUAAUACCCAAUGAUAUCUCUAGAAGACAUCUGAAAGAGAUUAAAGAUUUAUCGGUGAUGGAUGGGGAUGCGUCUGAUUAGCUUGUUGGCGGGGUAACGGCCCACCAAGGCAACGGUCAGUAGGGGUUCUGAGAGGAAGGUCCCCCACAUUGGAACUGAGACACGGUCCAAACUCCUACGGGAGGCAGCAGUGAGGAAUAUUGGUCAAUGGACGAGAGUCUGAACCAGCCAAGUAGCGUGCAGGAUGACGGCCCUAUGGGUUGUAAACUGCUUUUAUAGGGGAAUAAAGUGAGUCUCGUGAGACUUUUUGCAUGUACCUUAUGAAUAAGGACCGGCUAAUUCCGUGCCAGCAGCCGCGGUAAUACGGAAGGUCCGGGCGUUAUCCGGAUUUAUUGGGUUUAAAGGGAGCGUAGGCCGGAGAUUAAGCGUGUUGUGAAAUGUAGACGCUCAACGUCUGCACUGCAGCGCGAACUGGUUUCCUUGAGUACGCACAAAGUGGGCGGAAUUCGUGGUGUAGCGGUGAAAUGCUUAGAUAUCACGAAGAACUCCGAUUGCGAAGGCAGCUCACUGGAGCGCAACUGACGCUGAAGCUCGAAAGUGCGGGUAUCGAACAGGAUUAGAUACCCUGGUAGUC